AAGUGAAAGUGCAAAUAUUAAUAAAGAUAUUUUCUUGUGCAGGUCAGGAUCAUUUGUGUGUCCGUGCACGAAAUGCAUUUCAAUUUAAGAUAUUGAACACGUAAUCUUUAAAUGCAAGAAAUAUAAUAAUUUUUAAAAGAUUAAUUUAUAUGCAUUGUAUCAAAUCAGGAUCGUUCAGGUCAGGAUCAUUUGGGUGUCCGUCCACCUUUGCUGGUGCAUGUAUUUUUACCACAGCAGCCUUUGGGUCAGGAUCAUUUGUGUAUCCGUCCACAUUCGCUGAUGCAGGGAUUUACUCUUUUGAAGACGGUGUGCGAUAUUUUGGUGUUUUGUAUGUAAGCUUUAAUAAGUGGAAAAAGUCUAGAGUACUAACCGUUGAUCUACAGAACACCCAAAAAAGUGCUUCGAUAGAACUCUUCAUGCUGAUUUCAACUAUCACUGAAUUAAUAAGGUUCUAUGAAGUGCAAAGUUUCGUUUUGCUGUUAAAAUUAUCAUCGAUUCUUAAUUUUUUGUUUGUUUUUAAUUAGAAAUACCUCGUAAUCUCGCAAAUAAAAUUAAGCAAGUUUACUAGUUGUCUGUGGUAAUGAGGCAAUUACACGUUUAGAUGAAAUUGUGUUUUAUUUCUUAAGUGGUAACGUUUUUGUAUCUUAACUUGCGCCGAGUAAUUUUGGUGUUGUUGAAAUCAGCAUUCAAAGUUCUAUGGACCCAUAUUUUUGGAGGUUUUCAUAACAUAACGGUUGGUUACAUUUUUAAAAAACCAAAUGUAAUCAAGUUAAGCUGAUAAUGAUAUAAUUUUUAAAUGUAACAAAUAUAAUGAUUAACAAGACUGAUUGCAGAAAAUAGUAUAAACAUUACCAAAAAUUUACAUUUUUAAAAAACCAAAUGUAAUUAAAUUACGAUAUUAAAGAAUAUAUUUUUUUUUUGAUGAAACCAAUAUAUUGAUUAACAAGACUGAUUGGAGCAAAAAGUACAAAGCAUUACAAAAAAUUUACAUUUUUAAAAAAACCAAAUGUAAUUUAAUUACGAUAUUGAAGAUCAAACUUUUAAAUGUUACCAAUAUAAUGAUUAGCAAGACUGAUUGGAGAAAAUAAUAGAAAACAUUACUAAAACAUUUAAAAUAAAAAAAACCAAAUGUAAUUGAAUUUAAGAUACUGAACAUGUAAUCUUUAAAUGCAAGAAAUAUAAUAAUUUUUAAAAGAUUAA
Long non-coding RNA from Rhagoletis zephyria (snowberry fruit fly), 1200 nucleotides. RefSeq lists it as uncharacterized. The record is from RefSeq and is a predicted model, not a curated record. Lineage: Eukaryota; Metazoa; Arthropoda; Insecta; Diptera; Tephritidae.